RNAcentral lists this ribosomal RNA (253 nucleotides) under uncultured bacterium. RNAcentral's name for it is "partial 16S ribosomal RNA". It matches the Rfam family "Bacterial small subunit ribosomal RNA", at positions 524 to 776 of the family's 1533-position model. The record is from RNAcentral.
UACGGAGGGUGCAAACGUUGCUCGGAAUCAUUGGGCGUAAAGCGCACGUAGGCGGUCGGGUAAGUCUGACGUGAAAUCUCCGGGCCUAACCCGGAAACUGCGUUGGAAACUGCCUGGCUAGAGGAAUGGAGGGGAGACUGGAAUACUUGGUGUAGCAGUGAAAUGCGUAGAUAUCAAGUGGAACACCAGUGGCGAAGGCGAGUCUCUGGACAUUUCCUGACGCUGAGGCACGAAAGCCAGGGGAGCAAACGGG